GGUGUAGCUCAGUGGCAGAGCACAAGCUUAGAGUACUUGAGGACCUGGGCUCAAUCCCCAGAACCA
Molecule: transfer RNA, 66 nt
Filed under: Fukomys damarensis (Damara mole-rat)
Lineage: Eukaryota; Metazoa; Chordata; Mammalia; Rodentia; Bathyergidae
Rfam family: tRNA
About the family: Transfer RNA (tRNA) molecules are approximately 80 nucleotides in length.
Source: Rfam by way of RNAcentral